CAAUAGCGUAUAUUUAAGUUGUUGCAGUUAAAAAGCUCGUAGUUGGAUUCGGUUAAGAGCGACCGGUCCGCCGUUUGGUGUGCACUGGUUGGUUUUAACUUCCUGUAGAGGACGUGCUCUGGGUUUAACGACCUGGACUCGGAGUCUACGUGGUUACUUUGAAAAAAUUAGAGUGUUCGAAGCGGGCUUACGCUUGAAUAUUUCAGCAUGGAAUAACACUAUAGGACUCCUGUCCUAUUUCGUUGGUCUCGGGACGGGAGUAAUGAUUAAGAGGAACAGUUGGGGGCAUUCGUAUUUCAUUGUCAGAGGUGAAAUUCUUGGAUUUAUGAAAGACGAACUUCUGCGAAAGCAUUUGCCAAGGAUGUUUUCAUUAA
Molecule: ribosomal RNA, 374 nt
Filed under: uncultured eukaryote
Lineage: Eukaryota
Description: partial 18S ribosomal RNA
Rfam family: Eukaryotic small subunit ribosomal RNA
Source: RNAcentral